UUUGUUGUGAUUGAUGAGAGUCACUUUCGUCACAAACGAAAGUAUGGGAGAGGAAGAAUGGCUGGGGGAUGGAAAAGAAGAAAGUGGGUCUUUGGAAUGCUGGGCAUAAAACAUCGAGGGAAAACGAGGCCUAUCUUGCGACUUGUGGAGAAAAGAUCUCGAAGACAUCUUGUUCCUGUGAUUACCCUUCAUGUCCGGAUUGGUUCCUCAGUGAUAAGUGAUGAAUGGCGGGCCUAUCAUGUACUCCCAAAUUUAGGGAAUGAACACCAUACUGUUAACCACAGCAGGUGGUAUGUUGACCCUCGUACAGGUGCCCAUACCCAACAUCUGGAGAGAGCCUGGAGGUCUUACAAGGAGCAAAUCUGGAGACUCAGGGGUAACAGAAAUGAUAGACUACUGUCAGAACACCUUACAGUUAUUGAGUGGAAUGAGUGGCUCGCAAAAAAGCACAAAAAUGGUACAUUGGGGAGACUGAUAUAUGACAUUUCCAAAAAAUACAGAUAAUUCUAAAAGUUAAUGUUGCUACUGCUUUUUUUUUUUCUUUUUGAAAAUGUUAUUUGAAAACUUUAUGUAAAGAGCUACAGGUCAUAUAGUUUGCAUCCAGCUGUGUUCUGUAUUACCUCAAAUAUUGGCUGAUAGUUUAUGACAGUUUUUAUUUUUGUAUCAAAAUUUGUGUGUCCAAUCUGUAAGCAUUGUUCUCAUGUUUUUGUGAUUGGCAUCUUAAAAAUACAGUGCGUUCUGGAUCUAC
This is a long non-coding RNA of Oreochromis aureus, 748 nucleotides long. RefSeq lists it as uncharacterized. NCBI's taxonomy places the organism in Eukaryota, Metazoa, Chordata, Actinopteri, Cichliformes, Cichlidae. The record is from RefSeq and is a predicted model, not a curated record. The transcript has 2 exons.